CUACGGGGUGCACCAGUGGGGAAUAUUGCACAAUGGGCGCAAGCCUGAUGCAGCCAUGCCGCGUGUAUGAAGAAGGCCUUCGGGUUGUAAAGUACUUUCAGCGGGGAGGAAGGGAGUAAAGUUAAUACCUUUGCUCAUUGACGUUACCCGCAGAAGAAGCACCGGCCAACUCCGUGCCAGCAGCCGCGGUAAUACGGAGGGUGCAAGCGUUAAUCGGAAUUACUGGGCGUAAAGCGCACGCAGGCGGUUUGUUAAGUCAGAUGUGAAAUCCCCGGGCUCAACCUGGGAACUGCAUCUGAUACUGGCAAGCUUGAGUCUCGUAGAGGGGGGUAGAAUUCCAGGUGUAGCGGUGAAAUGCGUAGAGAUCUGGAGGAAUACCGGUGGCGAAGGCGGCCCCCUGGACGAAGACUGACGCUCAGGUGCGAAAGCGUGGGGAGCAAACAGGAUUAGAUACCCCAGUAGUC
Molecule: ribosomal RNA, 464 nt
Filed under: uncultured bacterium
Lineage: Bacteria
Description: partial 16S ribosomal RNA
Rfam family: Bacterial small subunit ribosomal RNA
Source: RNAcentral